RNAcentral lists this ribosomal RNA (3150 nucleotides) under Triticum aestivum (bread wheat). RNAcentral's name for it is "partial small subunit ribosomal RNA". Lineage: Eukaryota; Viridiplantae; Streptophyta; Magnoliopsida; Poales; Poaceae. The record is from RNAcentral.
AUGGCUCCCGUCCAGCGGCACAACAGGGGUCCCGUACCCAAAUACGCACAAGAGACUGAUUACUUCACUAUGGAGUUCAUUUAUGAUGGAGUUUUCAUGAGGACAGGAGGCAAUAGGUCCUAUGUUAAUGGUAGGAAGGUUUCAUAUGAUUACUGUGAAGCUGAUGUAAUAUGUAUGGCCAUGUUUGGCGAUUUAAUUAAGGCACUGGGUUAUGAAAGAAGGGGCAGAAUUAACAUAUACUUUUUGCUGCCCGGUAUGCAAAUCAAUGAAGAUGGUCUGCGGUUGUUAUCAAAGGACAGCGACACAACGUGCAUCAGGGCUAUGGUUAGAGAGGGACAUAGGUUUCUCAUGUUUUAUCUUGAGCAUGACGAUAAAAUUGCUGCAGAAACACAGGAUGAUGUUAUUGCAAACCCCACCACUGAGUUGCCCAAUGUUAUCAGCCCUAUGAAUUGCAGUACAGAUCAGGAGCAUGAGAGUGUUUUGGAGCAGAGCAAUGUGUCACCUAGUCAUGCUGAUGAGAGUAGAAUAGAAGGGACGAGUACAUGCAAAGGGAGAGGAAAAGCAAAGGAAGAAGAUGAUGUGUGUAGUGAUGAUGAAUCAUGUGACUCUGAUUACGUUGCAUCACUAGUAGACAGUGACUAUGAUCUAGAGGAUGGUGAUGCUGAUUUGUUCAUUGAUAGGAAGCAGAAUGGUGCAGAGAAGGAAUGCAAAGGGAAAAGUAAAGAAGUUGUAGAAGAUGACAUUUCUGAAGAUGAUAAACUGGAGCUUCCAGAUUCAGAUGAAGAAGACAUGAAAUUUAAUUUCAAGCAUUUUACAGAUGCAGAUAUGAAUGCGCCCAAGUUUCAUUUGGGUCAGGUCUUCACAUCUAUUGAUCAGUUGAGGAAAGCAAUUAGGGAGUACAGUUGCAAGGAGAGGUUGAACAUAACCUUUCCGAAGAAUGACAAAACUAGGCUUGGAGCGAAAUGCAAUGAUGGAUGCCCUUGGUACUUGUAUGCAUCAUAUGACAACAGGACACAAUCCAUCAUGAUCAAGACAUUCAAAGAUGAACACACUUGCUGCAAAAAGUGGCAAGUAAAAGCUUUUACAGCCAGAUAUAUAGCUCAUAAGUAUGUGGAGAAGAUCAGAGCUGAUGAGAAGAUUACACUUAAGGGUUUUGGGUCACUAGUGCAACAAGAAUGGAACAUGAAAGAGAAGAGGGGAAAACUUGGGAGAGCUAGGAAAAUUGCACACAACAUAAUCUAUGGAGAUGAAAUUGCACAAUACAAUAAGUUAUGGGACUAUGGGCAUGAGUUGAGGAGAUCCAAUCCAGGCAGCACUUUCUUUGUUGAGCUUGCCGAUGAUGGUCAGUUUCAGAAAUGUUAUUUCUCAUUUGAUGCAUGCAAGAGGGGGUUUCUAUCUGCUUGUAGGCCAGUACUUUUUGUUGAUGGAACCCAUUUGAAGACCCAAUUUGGUGGCAUUCUCUUGACAGCUAUUGGAAUGGACCCCAAUGACUGCAUCUUUCCAAUAGCUUUUGGUGUUGUUGAAGUUGAGAAUACAAAAAGUUGGAGGUGGUUCUUGACUGCUUUCAAAGAAGACCUAGGCAUUGUCAACACCUCCCGAUGGAGCAUUAUGUCAGACAAACAGAAAGGAUUAAUUAGGGCUGUUAAGGAACUGUUUAGUGACUCAGAGCAUAGAUUUUGUGUUAGGCAUUUGUGGCAGAAUUUCACAAAAAACUUUAAAGGUGAAAUCUUGAAGAACCAACUAUGGAGAUGCGCAAGAAGUACUACAACAGGUCAAUUUAGGGCCAACAUGGAUCAGAUGUUGAUUUUAAAUAAAGAAGCUCAUGACUGGUUGGAUGAGUUAGAUCCGAAAACUUGGGUUAGAGCUUAUCAAAGAGAAUUCCCUAAGUGCGAUGUGCUACUGAAUAACAAUUGUGAGGUCUUCAAUAAGUACAUAUUAGAAGCAAGAGAAAUGCCCUUCUUAAGCAUGGCGCAGACCAUAAAGGGGCAGAUAAUGGCGAGAGUUUAUUCCAAGAAGGAAGAAGCAGGGAAGUGGCAUGGCACCAUAUGUCCAAAAAUUAGGAAAAGACUCCAAAGGCAUGUGGAAGCUGCUAAUACAUGCACGGCUGACCCAGCAGGACUUGGGAUAUUCCAAGUUAAUGACAGAGGUGCAGAUUUUGAAGUGGACAUCAGGUUGAGGACUUGUAGCUGCAAGAGAUGGGAUUUGACUGGAAUACCAUGUUGUCAUGGAGUGGCUGCUUGUAGGCAUGACCAAAUACCUCCAGAAGAAAUGGUGCACUCAUGCUACUCCAUUCAAACAUAUUUAAAAGCAUAUGAGCAUAUUAUCAUGCCAUGCAAAGAUGUGGCUGAGUGGCAGAGAAUGUAUGGAAGAGAAAUACUUCCUCCACCAAUUCUGAAAAAGAAAGGAAGGAGAAAGAAAAAUAGGAGACAACAACCAGAAGAGAAAGAGGGAAGGGCAGGGCGAAAAAUGGGUAGAGGAGGGGCUGUUAUCCAUUGCAGCUAUUGUGGUGCUGCGGGCCACAAUAUCGGAGGAUGCACUGAUUUUAAGCUUGGUUUGAAACCAAAGAAAAAGGGCAAGGUAGUUAGAGCUGAGCCACCGGUUUCCUCUGAUUCAGAAAAUGAGGAUCCAGUCCUAACUCAGGAGCAAAAUAUGCAAACUAUGGGUAUGAGUCAACCAGAACGUACUACAUAUGAAGCAGAGGCCAUUUCUACAUUGAUAGCUGAGACACAAUCAAGCCAGAGACCGAUUGUGCAACCAACUGCUUUACCAGAAAAUGCUUUCAUUCAAGGAAAUGUCCAAAUGCAGCCCCGAGUGCAAGAGACAACUGCCACAAUCCAUGGAAAUGUUCAUAGGAAGAGAGAGGUGUUAGCUUUGGCCAAAUUGAAAGCAGCAGCCGAGAGAAGGGACGUAGCGGAUCAAGCCAAAUUUGAUGCAGCCAUGGCAAAGCUUAAAGAAGAAGAGAACAAACUAAUGCUAGCAGCUGAGCAGAGAAAACAAGAGCUGCAAGAAAAGAGGAAAGUUGCUGAAGAGAAAAAAAAAGCAAUGUUGGAGCAGAAAAAAUUAGAAGCUGAGGCAAGAAAAAGAGUUGCUGAAGAAAAAAAAAGAAAGCUCAAGAGGAGAAAUUUGCACUUGCAGAGGCAAAAAGGUUAG